RNAcentral lists this ribosomal RNA (451 nucleotides) under uncultured bacterium. Its description in RNAcentral is "partial 16S ribosomal RNA". It matches the Rfam family "Bacterial small subunit ribosomal RNA", at positions 354 to 796 of the family's 1533-position model. The record is from RNAcentral.
GUGGGGAAUAUUGCGCAAUGGGGGAAACCCUGACGCAGCGACGCCGUGUGAGGGAAGAAGGCUUUUGGGUCAUAAACCUCUGUCAGAAAGGAAGAACCUCCCAAGUCCGAAUAGGGCUUGGGACUGACGGUACUUUCAAAGGAAGCACCGGCUAACUCCGUGCCAGCAGCCGCGGUAAUACGGAGGGUGCAAGCGUUAAUCGGAAUCACUGGGCGUAAAGCGCGCGUAGGCCGCUUUGUAAGUCGGACGUGAAAGCCCUCGGCUCAACCGGGGAACUGCGUUCGAUACUGCGAGGCUUGAGUCCUGGAGAGGGUGGCGGAAGUCCGGGUGUAGGAGUGAAAUCCGUAGAUAUCCGGAGGAACACCGGUGGCGAAGGCGGCCACCUGGACAGGUACUGACGCUGAGGCGCGAAAGCGUGGGGAGCAAACAGGAUUAGAAACCCCAGUAGUCC